RNAcentral lists this ribosomal RNA (478 nucleotides) under uncultured bacterium. Its description in RNAcentral is "partial 16S ribosomal RNA". It matches the Rfam family "Bacterial small subunit ribosomal RNA", at positions 28 to 507 of the family's 1533-position model. The record is from RNAcentral.
GAUGAACGCUGGCGGCGUGCUUAACACAUGCAAGUCGAACGGGAAACCUUUUAUUGAAGCUUCGGCAGAUUUAGCUGGUUUCUAGUGGCGGACGGGUGAGUAACGCGUGGGUAACCUGCCUUAUACAGGGGGAUAACAACCAGAAAUGGUUGCUAAUACCGCAUAAGCGCACAGGACCGCAUGGUCCGGUGUGAAAAACUCCGGUGGUAUAAGAUGGACCCGCGUUGGAUUAGCUAGUUGGCAGGGUAACGGCCUACCAAGGCGACGAUCCAUAGCCGGCCUGAGAGGGUGAACGGCCACAUUGGGACUGAGACACGGCCCAGACUCCUACGGGAGGCAGCAGUGGGGAAUAUUGCACGAUGGGGGAAACCCUGAUGCAGCGGCGCCGCGUGAAGGAAGAAGUAUCUCGGUAUGUAAACUUCUAUCAGCAGGGAAGAUAGUGACGGUACCUGACUAAGAAGCCCCGGCUAACUACGUG